This 501-nucleotide ribosomal RNA is filed under the name uncultured bacterium. Its description in RNAcentral is "partial 16S ribosomal RNA". It matches the Rfam family "Bacterial small subunit ribosomal RNA", at positions 29 to 523 of the family's 1533-position model. The record is from RNAcentral.
AUUGAACGCUGGCGGCAUGCCUUACACAUGCAAGUCGAACGGCAGCACGGGUGCUUGCACCUGGUGGCGAGUGGCGAACGGGUGAGUAAUACAUCGGAACGUACCUUAUCGUGGGGGAUAACGCAGCGAAAGCUGUGCUAAUACCGCAUACGCCCUGAGGGGGAAAGCGGGGGAUCGCAAGACCUCGCGCGAUUAGAGCGGCCGAUGCCUGAUUAGCUUGUUGGUGGAGUAAAAGCCCACCAAGGCGACGAUCAGUAGCUGGUCUGAGAGGACGAUCAGCCACACUGGGACUGAGACACGGCCCAGACUCCUACGGGAGGCAGCAGUGGGGAAUUUUGGACAAUGGGGGCAACCCUGAUCCAGCAAUGCCGCGUGAGUGAAGAAGGCCUUCGGGUUGUAAAGCUCUUUUGUCAGGGAAGAAACACCGGCUCUAACACAGUCUGGGAAUGACGGUACCUGAAGAAUAAGCACCGGCUAACCACGUGCCAGCAGCCGCGGUAA